RNAcentral lists this transfer RNA (94 nucleotides) under Lodderomyces parapsilosis. RNAcentral describes it as "tRNA-Glu". It matches the Rfam family "tRNA". Rfam says of the family: Transfer RNA (tRNA) molecules are approximately 80 nucleotides in length. Their secondary structure includes four short double-helical elements and three loops (D, anti-codon, and T loops). The record is from RNAcentral. RNAcentral also lists the same sequence under 1 other name. Lineage: Eukaryota; Fungi; Ascomycota; Pichiomycetes; Serinales; Debaryomycetaceae.
UCCUUUGUAGUGUAAUGGCUAUCACGGUUCGCUUUCAAAUGAUUACAUCAUUGUAAGUUCCGAGCAGAUCGGGGUUCGAUUCCCCGCAAGGGAG